ACCUCACGACGAAGAAACUGUUACCAUUUAAAAGGAAAAGUAACUUCGCUACAUAACAUCUACUAUUAACGCAGUCUAGGAAGGUUUUAUCCUGAAAUGCGUGCGGAGGAGGCUAGAGGGUGAAGGUUUUUUUCUCGGAAAUUACAGUCUUCCUCAACUCCCGCCUCCCCUCCACCCGGCGCUUCCCGUCACUUUGGAGGGACUCGAAGCCGUCCCAGGCCAUUUCUAUGGGUGACGACUUGUGGACUACCGUGAGGGUAAAGGCCCCGCGCCGACUAUUGUGAGCUAUUAACUCCCGGAAAAGCAGACGCAAGCCAUUAUAGAAGCAACGUGUAUCCCAAGCAUCAAGACUGGCACCUCCAAGCUCCUUCCCCCUGGAACUUUACUCAACAUUUCAGCAUCAGGCCAUUAUAGCUUUGAAUUGUGCCUUUGAGCAUCUCUGUUUUUGCAUCCAUUAACAAGAUGUGUCCUAAGAAAUCAUUUAUGAUGGCGAGAACCCUGCUGGCCAUCUUAUAUGCCCCUAAGGACGGCAUAGAAGGAGCUGACUGCUGGUAACUUUUCUGCCUAUCUCUUCCUGUAUUUGACUUUUUCGAGAAAAUAACAAAAUAAGGAGUUCCCACUGAUGCACAGUAGGUUCGGAGUCCAACUGCUGCGUCUUAGGCCACAGCAGAGAUGGCUUGAAGACAAAUUGGAGAUGGCAGAAAAAAGACUCAGUGGCCUUGAAGGCAUAGAGAGUACUAUUCAGGAAAUUAUAGCAUUACUGUAUCUGGGAUGCAUGACAAGAAUAAGUUCAGGAAGGCUCCAAGGGGAAAGGUAAGCUCUUACUCCUGGGGGAGAGGAAGGGACCAAACCAUUAGGUAUGAAAAGCACAGCAGAAUAGAUGGGGGUGGUGGAUAAUGCCUGAUCAUGAACUAAUUGUAAAUAAGCCAUAUCAUGUUGACUUCCUUUUGAAUAUGAACUUUUAAAUGGCUUGAUCCUCUAGUUCCUUUGUAAGAACCAUGGUAACUUCCAUGUCCAGGUCUAAACUAUAAAAAUUGUGAAAAGCUCCCCAAGGCUGCAAAGACUGGUUAAACAUGUUAGUGUGCUGAAUCUGAGGCCCAUUGCUUCUCCUUGGCUUCCAUCUCUGCUUCUUCAUUGUUGACAGACCCACCCAAAUGUAAAUGUUUUUCUUACCUCUGCCUUUGAGUUGUAAAAUAAUUCUUCUAAGUGAAUUAAUGAGAAAGCAAUGAAGAUGAAUACAAAAUGCUGGCGCGUGUGAAGCAAUGACCCUGACAUCACUUUACCUGGAAAGUAGAGGGAAUGCUCUUCCUUGUCACGUUAUCACUCUUGCCCUCCAGGACACCACUGUCACCCCAGGACCUCACUGGCUGCUCCUUGUCAGUGUCCUUUGCUGGCUCCUCUUCUACUCCCUGAACUCUCAACAUUAGAGUGGCCCAGAGCUCAGUCUUCUGACCACCUCUCUCUCCACACGUGUUCCUUGUAUGUUCACAUCCAGGCUCACUACUUUAAGUACUCAAGUAUAUUUCCAUGACUCCCAAAUGAGUAUCUCCAGCCCAGACCUCUGUUCUGAAGUUCAGACUAAUAUAUCCUACUGCUGAUUCAAAAUCUCUCUUUGGCUUUCUCCAACAAGCAUCUCAAACUUUGCAUGUCCAAACCAGAGCUUUGAUUCCCAGCCACCUUCACCUUAGCUUGGAUUCCCCCAAAAGCAGACUGAGACAAAGACCUAGAGCAGUGGUUAGCUUGGGGAGUCGGGGAGAUGGGGAGCUUGUCUGCAGAGAGGUCCUCAACAUUCUUCCCUUCCUGUGUGCCUACUCCUCUGAAGUGUGAUUUUGACAGCCUUCCCGGGAAGAAGUGGGAUUUCUCUUUUCAACCUUUAUACCUGGCCUGGGAUUGUGACUUGGUUUGACCAAAAGAAUGCAUAGAAGUGACACUGUGAGACUUCUAACUCCAGGCCUCAUGAUGCUUUGUGGCUUCCCCAUGUGCCUCCUUAGAAUGCUACCCUGAGAUUGGCAUACGAAGAGUCCUGGUCUAGCCUAGUGGAGGAUGAGAGGGCAUAGAGAGCAAUAAGCCAUCCCAUCUGAAGCCUCUUAAAUCAACCAGCUGACAGCUGGCAUCUUCCGUCUAUCAGCAGAGGUCAUUGUAAAUAAUCCAGUGCCAAUCAAGAUGCCAGAUGAGGAGUUCCUGUAGUGGGUCAGUGAUAAUGAACCUGAGUAGUAUCCAUGAGGACAUGAGUUCAGUCCCUGGACUUGCACAGUGGUUUAAGGAGUCAGCAUUUCCAUGAGCUGUGGCUCAGCAUUUCCAUGACCCGAGCCAGGUCACAGAUGUGGCUCAGAUCCCACGUUGCUGUGGCUGUGGUGUAAGCUGGCAGCUACAGAUCCAAUUUGACCCCUAGCCUGGGAACUUCCAUAUGCUGCAGGUACAGCCCUAAAAAAUAAAUAAAGCCCAACUGUGCUUUUCUGAAAAAAUAACUGUUGUGUUGCUUGUUUCUGAGUCAUUGAACUGGUCCCCUCUUCCCUUUUGAAGGUAGCAUUCCUUUGAAUGGAGGGUAGGGCAGUUGAACCAGCAAAGGACUCUGGCCCAGGCUUUGUCACUAACCAGUUUCAUGAUAUUACCUGGGUUAUUUAAUUUCCUCCUCUACAAAAUGGAAAGGACACUCUACCUGCCUCACAAGUUGGAUGUGAGACCCCAAUGAUAUAAUGUGAAAAACUUGAAAUACUACAGUUACACAAAUGAAAUUUUUUUUUUUGCUUUUUUUUUUUUAGGGCUGCUCUCACGGCAUUUGGAGGUUCCAAGGCUAGGGGUUGAAUGGGAGCUGCUGAUGCCAGCCUACACCACAGCAGCAAGGGAUCAGAGCCGCUUCUGUGAACUACACCACAGCUCAUGGCAACGCCAGAUCCUUAACCCACUGAGUGAGGCCAGGAAUCAAACCCAAAACCUCAAGGUUCCUAGUCAUAUUCAUUUCCCCUGUGCCAUGAUGGGAACUCCAACAAGAUUUUUAUUUUUAUUUGCUGCUUUUAAACUCUCCUCCUUUCCCCUUUUCCUAAAAUUUGUCUUUUCCUAGCGGUUCCAGAAGAAGUGAUGGUAGGCCUAGAGAGCUCUCUGAGCUAGUCCAGCCAUCCAGUUGGCCUGAGGUAAGAAACUGGGGAGGUUGGAGAGAGGUAGAACUAAUAGCACAGCACAAUAAAACUCACAAGGAAGUGCUGGUUCAGAGUCCCCUAUCAGAGAAAGAAAAAUUGAGGCAAAAUGCAGUUUCUCUUCACUCCCCUGAUAAUAAAACAAAUUUACAGGAUCUCAUCAAAACUAUGGAAGAAAGAAAAGUUAUGAAAACUUCCUGGUGUGCAAGGCAUAACAAAGAAAAUGUAUUGUACAGCACUUAUGUAUGUAAAUGUCCAUAAUGUCUUUGAUAUGACUUUUAUCUAGUGGGCCUGUUACUGAGUCCAAGGUUACACUGCUGCCCCACAACAGGCCAAUAAAUCCAGAGACAAGAUGCUGGGGCAGGGAAUAGCAACUUUAUUCUGAAAAUCAGCAGGUCAGGAAAACAGUGGACUAGUGUCCCAAAGAAUCAUCUUACCUAAGUUAGAAUUUAUACUAAAAGGGGAGGUGGUGUGGCUGGUUGUUGGGAAAUUUCGGUGCUGGAAUCCUUUGUUCUUGCAGCCACAUAGGUUCAGUCACAAUAUUCCCAUAAACCUCUAACAAGGCAAAUGUUAUUCUCUGUUCUGCAACUUUUUAUCUCUAUGUGAUAAGCAUCUCUAUAUUCAGAGCAUUAAGAAUGGGCUAUCAUGUAUAUUUCAGGCUAUAGGCAACAUUCUUUUACAAAAGGUAUAGAGACAGCAUGACUAAGCACAGGCAACAGAGCACCAGGGUUAGAGCUCAAGGAAUAGAUCCAAUAUGGAGUCAGAUCUGUUCUUCUCUGUUACAAGCUGUUUUAUAUUAGUGAACAUUUUUUAAAUGUGCUUUUUUUGGGCUUCCUCCUACCCUAUUUUGGUUCCUGUCUCCAUGUUUCUCAUGAAGUGUUUCAGUUCCUCAGCCACACGUUCUCUUGGCAUAGUUUUCGGGAACAUAAAUUUCAAGAUUGGCAAAGGGAUACUGUACCUUACCCAUUCCAUCUGAACAUUAUUACGAUGCCACAAAAUCACCUAUUUUCAUAAUAAAAUAUACCAUGCUUCUUUUUAUUAAUAAUUGAAAAUGAACAGAAAUAUUGUUAUUUGUUUGAGAAGGGCUCCAUUGUUUUUCUUUAGAAUGUUAAUUUCCUGCUUUGCAUUUCCUUCCUCAUAGAUAAAUGCAGAGAACAUGUCUCUUCUUGGGAAAAGUGGGCAUUCUUGAAGAAGUAAAAGAUUGACCUCAUUGUAUACAUUUAAUGUAACAGACACAGGUAGUUUGUGAAAAUUCAGAAAUACUAUUUUUUUCCAAAGUAUGGUUAAUGACAGGUUGGAUAAUCUCUUGAUUUGGGAACUGAGUUCUACUACAUUUAAUACAAUCCCAAAUGACUAAGACGUGAACCAGAGAACACUGAGUCUGGAGGUUCGCAGUUUCUGGUAUCAUUUCUGUGGCUCAAAAGUGUGAGGGUCAAAGUUUCUCCGUUGUUUCUUACCAUCAUGAUUAUAACAUGGAUAACUGUGGAUCUAACCAUCACAUUCAAAUUCCAGGAAGGAAGCGGGAAAGAGAAAAGGCAAAGUCCAAGAGGCCAAGCCAGCCAAAUCUUUCCCUUUAAAGGGACUUUCCUAAAAAUCCUGCUUCUCUCUGGCCAGGAUGGUAUCACACAACCUCCUAGCUGCAAGGAAAUUGGGAAAUAUAUUUGUUUGUUUUUUUCAGCUGGGUAUAUUGCCACUUCCAGCAAAAGUAGGAAGGAAGAAAGGGAAAAUAGUUACUGAUCAAAAAAUUGGCACUCUGUACCCCUCCUUUUUAUUUAAUUUUUUGGCCUUUCCACAGCAUAUGGAAGUUCCCAGGCCACGGACUGAAUCUGAGCCACAGCUGUGAUGCUUCAGCUGUGGCAACACCGAAUCCUUAACCCACUGUGUCAGGCCAGGAAUCAAACCUGCAUGCCAGCACUCCAGGGACACUGCCGAUCCUGUUGCACCACAGAGAGAGCUCCACCACAACCUUUUCUUGGAAAAAUAUCAUCUUAUUUCAAGAUCAUGUCUGCAAGCUGAUGGUUGCUUUUUAAUUAUAAGAAUAAUAAAUGGGGCCUUCACAAAAUGGCCCCACCGCUGCUUUCAGUCCCUAGUGGACUGAGUUGUAAUUGCUGGUUGAAUUAUUCUGCUAUUACUAAAGCAAGUCGCAUUGCCUUCUCUUGGGGGAAUAGCUUUAGAAUAGCUUCUAAAAGAAAAAUAAAAGAAUUUAAAACACUACCUAUGCAAAACUGUAGUGAGUGGGUCUUAACGGUAUUUUUUAAAGUAUAUUUUCAUGGCUUACUUGUAAUAUAGUAGUUUUGGGGACACAAUAACUACCCACGCAUCAGAAGUUGCCCUUAUGACCAUUUCAGUGCAUAAGGUAUGGUGGUAGGAGAAUUGGCUUUGAAAUGAGACACACCUGGACUUGCAAUGUAGGUAAUAUUAAAAGCCUCCAAAGUGGUCUGCCUGCGUUUGCCCUUGCUAUUUAUAGACCAUUCUCAGCCAGCUGCAGAGAAGACCCUAAAUGAUGUCAGAUAAAGGUACCCUGCUCAAAACCCCCAGUGGCUCCUCAUCCAAAGAAGCCAAAAUCCUUACAAUGGCCUCCAAGGUCCUCUCCUUCUCUGCACACACUGACCCAACCCCCGAGUCUUUCUGACCUCUUUCCUGUCUUUUCUUCCUCUUCCCUCUGUUCCAGCCUAGCCUCCUUGCUGUUGCUCAAAGCCCACUCCCCCUCAGAGCUCUGCACUGCCUCUUCACUGCCUGUAGCACUUUCCCCUCUGAUACCCACAGGGCCCACCCCUCACCCUUUCAGGGCAUUUUUGAAGGUCACCUUUUUUAACGACUUCCUUUAAUCUGCAGAACAAGCUUCCUUUCAUCUUCUUUAAUUUUCUAUAGUACUUGCAUCUAUCACCACUAUCUUCUUAUUGCAUUUCAUUUCAUUUCAGUCGUAGAAGAGGAUUAAAAUCUUUACUCCUAGUCUAGUAUCUUAUUUUAAUUAUUUUUCUAAUUAAUACAGUAAAAAAAAAUUCAAACAGUUUAGGAGUUCCCGUCGUGGCGCAGCAGAAACUAAUCCGACUAGGAACCAUGAGGUUUUGGGUUUGAUCCCUGGCCUCGCUCAGUGAGUUAAGGAUCCAGCGUUGCCAUGAGCUGUGGAGUAGGUCACAGACGCAGCUCGAAUCCGGAGUUGCUGUGGCUCUGGCGUAGGCUGGCAGGUAUAGCUCCAAUUGGACCCCUAGCCUGGGAAUCUCCAUAUGCUGCAAGUGUGGCCCUGAAAAGACAAAAGACAAAAAAAAAAAAAAAAAAAAAA
This 6417-nucleotide long non-coding RNA is filed under the name Sus scrofa (pig). RNAcentral's name for it is "lncRNA (ENSSSCG00025056503.1)". The record is from RNAcentral. Lineage: Eukaryota; Metazoa; Chordata; Mammalia; Artiodactyla; Suidae.